This 1974-nucleotide ribosomal RNA is filed under the name Triticum aestivum (bread wheat). Its description in RNAcentral is "partial small subunit ribosomal RNA". The record is from RNAcentral. Lineage: Eukaryota; Viridiplantae; Streptophyta; Magnoliopsida; Poales; Poaceae.
AUGGGUUCUUGCGAGGAUGUGGAGUACGGGGACGUCUUCUCCGUCCCCAACCCGGCGGCUGCCCCCGCCUACGCGCUCGACUUCUCCCUCCACCACCACUACCACCACCAGCAGCAGCAGCAGCUCCGGUUCCCCCCUUCUUCAUACGGCUUCCACGGCCUUCCUGCCGGUCCCGCCGCCCAUUACCAGCCGUCGCCGCCGCAGUCGGCGCUGAUUGGCAGCACGCCGAGCCCCGUCUCGACCACCACCGACCUGGGGAGCCCCGAGGAAGCGUCCGACGACGCCGUGCUCGCCUACAUCAACCAGUUCCUCCUCGAGGAUGAUGACGACGACGAGUCCUCUGCUCCCGGCGCCGCCGCCGCGCCGGCGCGGGACUCGGCGCUCCUCGCCGUCGCCAAGCCCUUCGUCGACAUCAUCGCCGACGCCAAGCCGGCGUACCAGCACAGUUCCUGGACGGAUCCCUGCUGCGCUUUCGCGGGAAUGGGAGGAGGAUCCCCUGACAUGUUCGUCAGCAGCAGGCAGAGCUCCUGCCAGUUAGUGCCCUGCGAUUCCGUGAAGGUGGAGGAGGAGUGCGCCGUCCACAAGGGCCGGAAGAACCGGCACGGCGACGACGACCUGGAGCCGGAGGACGAGAGGCGGCGCAAGCAGCUCGCGCUGUCCGAGGAGGAGACCGUCCGGGAGAUGUUCGACAAAGUGCUCCUCUGCAACGGUGUCAACUGCAUCCUCCAGUCGCCGCUGCCGGCCGAAGCGGAGAUCAGCAGCGUGUACGUGAAAGGGUCAGGGAACCGGAGAGGGCGCAAGAAGGGGAAGACCGGAGUGCCCACCGUGGAGGAGGAGUCCGUCGACCUGACGACGUUGCUCAUACACUGUGCCCAGGCCGCGGCUAUCGAUGAUCACCGCGGUUCGGGUGAGUUGCUGAAGCAGAUCAGGCGGCAUUCUUCCCCUCAUGGGGAUGCCGGGCAGAGGCUGGCGCAUUACAUUGCUAAUGGGCUCGAGGCUCGCCUUGCCGGCACCGGUAGCACCGUCUACCGCUCGCUUGUCGCGCGGCGAACUUCUUCCGCUGACAUGCUGAAAAUAUUCAAGCUAUAUGGGACGGCAUGCCCGUUCAUCAGGAUGUCCAGGUUCUACUCGAAUGAAGCCAUCUUGGAUGCUGCUGCCAAGGGUGUGACAAGCGUGCACAUUGUGGACUAUGGUAUAGACUGGGGCUUCCAGUGGCCAAUCUUCUUGCAGCGGAUCUCCAAGAGAGAUGGCGGCCCCCCAAGAAUCCGCAUCACCGCCAUCGACUUACCGCAGCCAGGGUUCCGGCCUGCAGAGCGUUUAGAGGCGACGGGCCGGCGGUUAAGCGAGUACGCCAAGAUGUUUCAUGUCCCCUUCGAGUAUCGCGCAAUUGCUGCCAAGUGGGAUGCCAUCCGAGUCGAAGACCUCAGGAUUGACAAGGAUGAUCUUCUUAUUGUCAACUGCUUGUUCAGAAUGCGGCACAUGAUGGACGAGACGGUGACCGACGAGAGCCCGAGGAAGACGGUCUUGAACACGAUCAGGAAGAUGAACCCGCAUCGGUUCAUCCACGCGGUUGUCAACGGCACCUACAACGCGCCAUUCUUCGUGACGCGCUUCAAGGAGGCUCUGUUCUAUUUCUCCUCGCUCUACGACAUGCUCGAAGCGACCGCACCGCCGGCGGAUGAGCACAGGCAGCUGAUCGAAAGGGAAUACUUCGGGCGGGAGGUUCUCAACGUGGUCGCCUGCGAGGGCACGGAGAGGGUCGAGAGGCCGGAGACCUACAAGCAAUGGCAGGUAAGGAACCUCAGGGCAGGGUUCAGGCAGGUGCCUCUGCUUCAAGAGUCGGUGAAAAAGGCAAGAUACAAGGUAAUCAAGAGCUAUCACAGGGAUUUCUUCGUCGACGAAGAUAACAAGUGGAUGCUGCAGGGUUGGAAGGGCAGAGUCAUCGGCGCCCUAUCCACAUGGAAACCUAGCUAG